RNAcentral lists this ribosomal RNA (1359 nucleotides) under uncultured bacterium. Its description in RNAcentral is "16S ribosomal RNA". It matches the Rfam family "Bacterial small subunit ribosomal RNA". The record is from RNAcentral.
AUCCUGGCUCAGGAUGAACGCUGGCGGCGUGCUUAACACAUGCAAGUCGAACGAUUAAACCGCCCUCGGGCGGACAUAGAGUGGCGAACGGGUGAGUAACACGUGACCAACCUGCCCCGCGCUCCGGGACAACCGCUGGAAACGGCGGCUAAUACCGGAUACUCCGGGAGGGCCCCAUGGCCCUGCCGGGAAAGCCGAGACGGCGCGGGAUGGGGUCGCGGCCCAUUAGGUAGACGGCGGGGUAACGGCCCACCGUGCCCGCGAUGGGUAGCCGGACUGAGAGGUCGACCGGCCACAUUGGGACUGAGAUACGGCCCAGACUCCUACGGGAGGCAGCAGUGGGGAAUUUUGCGCAAUGGGGGAAACCCUGACGCAGCAACGCCGCGUGCGGGACGAAGGCCCUCGGGUUGUAAACCGCUUUCAGCAGGGAAGAUCCAAGACGGUACCUGCAGAAGAAGCUCCGGCUAACUACGUGCCAGCAGCCGCGGUAAUACGUAGGGGGCGAGCGUUAUCCGGAUUCAUUGGGCGUAAAGCGCGCGUAGGCGGCCGCCUAAGCGGGACCUCUAACCCCGGGGCUCAACCCCGGGCCGGGUCCCGGACUGGGCGGCUCGAGUGCGGUAGAGGAGAGCGGAAUUCCCGGUGUAGCGGUGGAAUGCGCAGAUAUCGGGAAGAACCCCGAUGGCGAAGGCAGCUCUCUGGGCCGUCACUGACGCUGAGGCGCGAAAGCUGGGGGAGCGAACAGGAUUAGAUACCCUGGUAGUCCCAGCCGUAAACGAUGGGCGCUAAGGUGUGGGGGGACGAUCCCUCCGUGCCGCAGCCAACGCAUUUAGCGCCCCGCCUGGGGAGUGCGGCCGCAAGGCUAAAACUCAAAGGAAUUGACGGGGGCCCGCACAAGCAGCGGAGCAUGUGGCUUAAUUCGAAGCAACGCGAAGAACCUUACCAGGGCUUGACAUGCCGAUGAAGCCGGGGAGACCCGGUGGCCGAGAGGAGUCGGCGCAGGUGGUGCAUGGCUGUCGUCAGCUCGUGUCGUGAGAUGUUGGGUUAAGUCCCGCAACGAGCGCAACCCCCGCCCCGUGUUGCCAGCAUUCAGUUGGGGACUCGCGGGGGACUGCCGGCGUCAAGCCGGAGGAAGGUGGGGACGACGUCAAGUCAUCAUGCCCCUUAUGCCCUGGGCUGCACACGUGCUACAAUGGCCGGUACAGAGGGUUGCCACCCCGCGAGGGGGAGCGGAUCCCGGAAAGCCGGUCCCAGUUCGGAUCGCAGGCUGCAACCCGCCUGCGUGAAGCCGGAGUUGCUAGUAAUCGCGGAUCAGCACGCCGCGGUGAAUACGUUCCCGGGCCUUGUACUCACCGCCCGUCA